UAGCAUAAUAAAUUGUUUCUUAAUUGGGAACUAGAAUGAAAGGCUUUACAAUUUAUAAAUUUAUUUAGUUAAGUAAAAGAAUUUUUAUUAUAAGUAAGAAUACUUAUAUAUCAUAAAGGGACAAUAAGACCCUAGAAGCUUUAAUUUUUAAUAAUAUAUAAUAUUUUUAUUUAUUCUCUAUAUUUGUAAUAAUUUUAAUUGGGGAAAUGAAAAUUUUUAUAAUAUUUUUAUACAAGUAUCUAAUCUUUUAGUAGGAAAAUUAGUAUAAGUUACUCUAGGGAUAACAGCGCAAUAAUUUUGGAUAGGCCUUAUAUAUAAUAUUGAUUGCGACCUCGAUGUUGAAUUAAAAUAUCUCUAUAGAGUAGAAGCUAUAGCAGAAG
This 380-nucleotide ribosomal RNA is filed under the name Metacrangonyx sp. 4 MDMBR-2012. RNAcentral describes it as "partial 16S ribosomal RNA". The record is from RNAcentral. Lineage: Eukaryota; Metazoa; Arthropoda; Malacostraca; Amphipoda; Metacrangonyctidae.